GGAAGUGAGGGCGACCUGGCUGCGACAUCAGUCACCCCAUUGACUGCCAGGGUUGAUUCGGCUGAGCUGGCUGCCUAGGCGGGUGUCCCCUUCCUCCCUCACCGCUCCUUGUGCAUCCCUCCCGAAGCUGCGUACUCGGUCAAAGAGGACAAGCUUCCCCAAAUAGAGGAGGACCCGUCUUUGGUCAAGGGUAUGUGAGUAGCUGCACCCCCCUGCUAGAACCCCUAAACAAGCUCUCAAAGGAGGCCGAUGGUGUUCCUAAGGAUGGCACCCAAGGUUGU
RNAcentral lists this small nuclear RNA (281 nucleotides) under Jaculus jaculus (lesser Egyptian jerboa). RNAcentral's name for it is "7SK RNA (ENSJJAG00000006774.1)". It matches the Rfam family "7SK RNA", at positions 1 to 285 of the family's 331-position model. Rfam says of the family: 7SK was discovered as an abundant small nuclear RNA in the mid-70s but a possible function has only recently been suggested. Two independent studies have found that 7SK RNA binds the CDK9/cyclin T complex (known as elongation factor P-TEFb). Lineage: Eukaryota; Metazoa; Chordata; Mammalia; Rodentia; Dipodidae. The record is from RNAcentral.